RNAcentral lists this ribosomal RNA (229 nucleotides) under uncultured bacterium. Its description in RNAcentral is "partial 16S ribosomal RNA". It matches the Rfam family "Bacterial small subunit ribosomal RNA", at positions 568 to 796 of the family's 1533-position model. The record is from RNAcentral.
UCCGUAGGCGGGCAAUUAAGUCAGAGGUGAAAUCCCACAGCUCAACUGUGGAACUGCCUUUGAUACUGGUUGUCUUGAGUUAUAGUGAAGUAGAUAGAAUAUGUAGUGUAGCGGUGAAAUGCAUAGAUAUUACAUAGAAUACCGAUUGCGAAGGCAGUCUACUAACUGUAUACUGACGCUAAUGGACGAAAGCGUUGGGAGCGAACAGGAUUAGAUACCCUGGUAGUCC